GACGUACUACCCAAACGUUAUUCGGAUUUACUGGGCUUAAAGAGUCCGUAGGCGGCCAAGAAAGUUGGGCGUGAAAUACCUCGGCCCAACCGAGGAAUAGCGCUCAAAACUACUUGGCUAGAGAGAGACAGAGGUGAGCGGAACUGAUGGUGGAGCGGUGAAAUGCGUUGAUAUCAUCAGGAACACCGGUGGCGAAAGCGGCUCACUGGGUCUCUUCUGACGCUGAGGGACGAAAGCUAGGGGAGCGAACGGG
This 253-nucleotide ribosomal RNA is filed under the name uncultured bacterium. RNAcentral's name for it is "partial 16S ribosomal RNA". It matches the Rfam family "Bacterial small subunit ribosomal RNA", at positions 524 to 776 of the family's 1533-position model. The record is from RNAcentral.